GUAUUUCUGUGGUUCAGUUGGUAGGGCAUUGGGCUAACAAUGCCAAAGUCAUGGGUUCUAAUCCCAGGGAAUGCA
Danionella cerebrum is the source of this 75-nucleotide non-coding RNA. NCBI's taxonomy places the organism in Eukaryota, Metazoa, Chordata, Actinopteri, Cypriniformes, Danionidae. The record is from the annotation of a GenBank genome assembly.